GGAAGGAGUUUUCGGACAACGGAAGGUGAGGACAGUGGCGGACGGGUGAGUAACGCGUGAGGAACCUGCCUUUCAGAGGGGGACAACAGUUGGAAACGACUGCUAAUACCGCAUGACACAUAGAGAUCGCAUGGUUUUUAUGUCAAAGAUUUAUCGCUGAAAGAUGGCCUCGCGUCUGAUUAGCUAGUUGGUGAGGUAACGGCCCACCAAGGCGACGAUCAGUAGCCGGACUGAGAGGUUGACCGGCCACAUUGGGACUGAGAUACGGCCCAGACUCCUACGGGAGGCAGCAGUGGGGAAUAUUGGGCAAUGGGCGCAAGCCUGACCCAGCAACGCCGCGUGAAGGAAGAAGGCUUUCGGGUUGUAAACUUCUUUUGUCGGGGACGAGUAGAAGACGGUACCUGGCGAAUAAGCCACGGCUAACUACGUGCCAGCAGCCGCGGUAAUACGUAGGUGGCAAGCGUUGUCCGGAUUUACUGGGUGUAAAGGGCGUGUAGCCGGGAAGGCAAGUCAGAUGUGAAAUCCACGGGCUUAACUCGUGAACUGCAUUUGAAACUACUUUUCUUGAGUAUCGGAGAGGCAAUCGGAAUUCCUAGUGUAGCGGUGAAAUGCGUAGAUAUUAGGAGGAACACCAGUGGCGAAGGCGGAUUGCUGGACGACAACUGACGGUGAGG
Molecule: ribosomal RNA, 674 nt
Filed under: uncultured Lachnospiraceae bacterium
Lineage: Bacteria; Bacillati; Bacillota; Clostridia; Lachnospirales; Lachnospiraceae
Description: bacterial SSU rRNA
Rfam family: Bacterial small subunit ribosomal RNA
Source: RNAcentral